Molecule: ribosomal RNA, 466 nt
Filed under: uncultured bacterium
Lineage: Bacteria
Description: partial 16S ribosomal RNA
Rfam family: Bacterial small subunit ribosomal RNA
Source: RNAcentral
GAUGAACGCUGGCGGCGUGCUUAACACAUGCAAGUCGAACGGUGAAGGCAAGGUUGCUUGGUGGGUCAGAGGCGAACGGGUGAGUGACACGUGUGCAACCUGCGCUGGACACUGGGAUAAGCGCUGGAAACGGCGUCUAAUACUGGACAUGAGCCUAUUCCUCAUGGGAGGUGUGCGAAAGAUUUUUUGGUCUGGGAUGGGCUCGCGGCCUAUCAGCGUGUUGGUGAGGUAAUGGCUCACCAAGGCGCCGACGGGUAGCCGGCCUGAGAGGGUGACCGGCCACACUGGGACUGGGACACGACCCAGAGUGCUACGGGAGGCAGCGGUGGGGAAUAUUGCACGAUGGGCGAAGGCCGGGUGCAGCGACGCCGCGUGGGGGAUGUCGGCCUUCGGGUUGUAAACCUCGUGUAGCAGGGAAGAAGCGAAAGUGACGGUACCUGAAGAGAAAGCGCCGGCUAACUACGUG